AUACUAUGAUGUUUGCAUAGUUCAGCAGAAUGAAUCAUGAAGAGAUCUACCAUUUGUCUGGUGUAGAA
This 68-nucleotide small nucleolar RNA is filed under the name Aotus nancymaae (Ma's night monkey). Its description in RNAcentral is "Small nucleolar RNA SNORD77 (ENSANAG00000004750.1)". It matches the Rfam family "Small nucleolar RNA SNORD77". From Rfam's summary of the family: U77 belongs to the C/D family of snoRNAs. It is predicted to guide 2'O-ribose methylation of large 28S rRNA subunit at position A1521. Lineage: Eukaryota; Metazoa; Chordata; Mammalia; Primates; Aotidae. The record is from Rfam by way of RNAcentral.